UGAAGACCCAAGAGGAAUAUCAGCUAGGUGACUGCUGACUGAUGCAGUUGACUGCAGUGAUGACUCUAAACCCGACAAGACCAGAUGUUCGUGUUCUGAGAAACCUGGUGACCGGCAACUUCUCUCCAGUCCAGACCAGCAAAUCAGAUGACCUGAAGACACAGUGAGUUUGUACAGGUGUGUCCUGAGUGUCAGCUGUCCUGAUGUUCCUGUCCUGACUGGGAGAAACCUGUGAUGACCAGCGACUCCUGUCCAAACCAGACCAGAUGAGGGCUGAGAAGACUGGUUGACUUGAAGACUGGUGGAAUGAAGAGAUUU
This is a long non-coding RNA of Branchiostoma belcheri (Belcher's lancelet), 318 nucleotides long. RefSeq lists it as uncharacterized. The record is from RefSeq and is a predicted model, not a curated record. The transcript has 3 exons. NCBI's taxonomy places the organism in Eukaryota, Metazoa, Chordata, Leptocardii, Amphioxiformes, Branchiostomatidae.